GGCCAGUUAGCUCAAUCUGUUAGAGCGGGUGCUGGUAACGCCAAGGUCGCGGGUUCAAUCCCCGUUCAGUCCC
Molecule: transfer RNA, 73 nt
Filed under: Apaloderma vittatum (bar-tailed trogon)
Lineage: Eukaryota; Metazoa; Chordata; Aves; Trogoniformes; Trogonidae
Rfam family: tRNA
About the family: Transfer RNA (tRNA) molecules are approximately 80 nucleotides in length. Their secondary structure includes four short double-helical elements and three loops (D, anti-codon, and T loops).
Source: Rfam by way of RNAcentral